CUAAGCUGCCGCCGGAUCCUACCCCUGACCCGAGGGCGGCGGGGAGAGUGUGCUCUGUAGCGGUUUCCUUCCGAGCAGGUGGUGACUGCUCCUUGGAGAGCAAGGAGGAGGCCUGGGCCGCCCGGCUGCGGUCGGGCGCGCACCACCCGAAGGUGAGGCAUUUGGCCCCCAGACGGUCCUUCGGAGAGCCCAGCUGAGCGAGAAGUUAUCUUACAGCUCUGCCCGCUGCACCUGCUGGAGGGAGCGAGCGCCCCACCCUUUCCGCGGUGUGGAGCGAGACUCAGCGCCAGAUAACGCGUGGUCGGGCCGAGCAAAUGUUUGAUGAAUGAAAGAAUGCCUCACUCGUGGAGUGCAGAGGAGUCCGACGGAAGUGCAAGCGCCUUGCCGACUGCGUAGCGUUGUCAAGAUGAGCGUUGUCAGGCGUCCCUCUUCCCUCAGUCCCCCCGCCUCCGGAGGAAGUGGGGGUGCGGCUUGAGUGAGGAGUCACAGGCUGAGCCUAGCGAAACAGGAGGCGAAUUGCCGGGACGAGGGAGGGGAGCCAUCCUCCCGGAACUGUGGAAGGGUUUUUUUACUUUUUCAAGAGGGCGAAUUUAGUAGCGACUCCCUUUUAGGACUCAGUCUUGCUUGUGGCUUGGUGCCUGGGAGAGCUGGUGUUGGCUGUUAAUCACUGUCCAUUACCGUCGUCAAGAAACGUUGGCCUGUGUGUCAGAUAAACAUGAUUACUCUUUAUGCAGCUUUUCCUAGAAAUGUUAUCCUGGAAAGUAAAUUCACGUAAAAACUCAUCAGGUUGAACGUAGUUCUCUAGGCAAAGAAAUUUUAAAAUAAAAGGACCAGAUCCUCAGAAAUCUGUCUUGAACCUGGCCUGGUGCAUAGUGUGAGAAUGAGAUAAAAGCAGUAAGGAUGAAAGGAAGCAGAUUCCACAGUACUGUCUCUGGACCCUGGACACCGUACCUCCUCUGGAAGCGUCAGUGUUUUUUGUUUAGAGUCAGUGAUAUUUUAAGACUGGAGGAAGAUGAGACCCAGAGAAAUUAAAUGACUUACCCAGGGUCAGAAGAGCAAGUGAAAAGGAAGCCUGGACGCAGCCCCAAGUCUUCAAAUAGAGCACGCUUGCUUCAUAGCACACUGACCCUCAGUCUUCUGGAGAAGUGAGUUGGGGCUCAAAUUUUAAUCUACCUUUGGAUUCCUUAAUUUGGAAACUGGAGUGGAUUCAAAACGAGACUCCAGGAAUUGAGAGUCACAACCUACCAGAGCAGCCAGAACACAGCACUAAUCGUGGGAAGCAAAGGACAGAAAGAUUCCUGAGACCCAGCAAAAUGCCAAGCAAGAAGCAAGAAACAGCUGGCUGCCCAGACUGUCCCAGGACCGUGCUGGUGAUGGAAAGGCUCUCUGUGGGCUUCUUUCUUACCAUCCCCUUGAUAGACUGCAGUUGUCAGAGGGAAAGACAGGCAGGCAUCUCAUAGGAAAGUCUUUCAGUGUAAAGAAAAGCCACCCAUCAGCAGCAGCUCACAGGGACAGCAAAAUGCCCAACUUCUUGGCAUUUGGGAUUUUCCAGGAAAGAUAGGCUAACUUGAAAACAAAGUCUGUUUUUAGGAUAUGUGCAAGUGCCUUCAGGGAAGCUGUUUGGGUGAAGUAGGUGUUCCCCGCCCCAAAUAGCUGGUUUGUUUGGUGAGCUGUAGGGGCAUAUUGGGUGCAGCUAAAUUGAUCUGAACAAUUUUCAAUCUUACAUCAUAAAAAAUAGUAUGGAGCAAAGCCUUCUGCCUUUAGGGAAUGAAGUACUCAUUUCUCAAUUGGUCAUUGAGAGUUAACAGCAGAUUGAGUGAGCAACCCCUGAAAAGAGGAGACAUUGGCUUAAUUCCGUGUUGUUACAGAGCUCAGCAUGCAGGUUGAUAUACACAGGGAGAGGUUGGCAGGCAGCUCCUUCACAUAAUAAUAUUCAUUCUUCUGAAUGGCUCAUUAAUAUUGUAUAUAUUCCUCUUUGGCCGUGCCCUCAUGUCUCCUCUCUGGACUGAGUCAGGCUCCCAGGACUCAGAGGUAAAAAAGAAGAGAAAGGAUAGAUGUGGAUUUUCAUGGAGUCGACGGCAGGCUGCUGUUUAUGACAGCUCCACGGCCAUGAAAAAUGUCAAGGAAACAAAAUAGGAAGACAAAUCCGUGGCAGGAAUUGGUUUCGGAUAACCAGUCAGCUGAUUAUCUCCUGAGUCUACGCCCCGUGCAUCUUGAUGGGGAAACUGAGGCCAGGGCAGAGAAGCAGCUUUCCCAAAGUCAACCAGCCCAUUAGCGGUAGAUGCAGAACCAAGCAGCAGAGAAAAUGCGGGGGUGCUCUCGCUGCAGAGAGGGUUUGGGGCUCUCUGGAUGCAGCACUUUCUCAGGGUCUGGAGUGCCUGUUGUGUGCCGUUCCCUCAUUGGACAGCGGAGGAGCUGGAGCUCAGAGAGGCUGGGUGACUAGCCUAAGGUCACACAGCUGGGAUUCAAAUCCACGCCUGCUUCCUGCCAGCUCUCUUCGAGUCACAGUCAAGUUGCAUAAAGUGAGCCCUUAUUCCGACAGGUUCUGAUGGAGCUGCUGCAAACCUCCCCGCUGUCUGUUCUCUCACUUCCUCCGGGGAAUCUGGUUCUGCUCAGCUCUGCCUCCCACUUUCUGCAUGAUGUUGGUCAAGUCACUUCAUAUCUAGGGGGUCACAUCUCUUCAUCAGUGAAAUGCGAGGUGUCUGCCGAACCUCCUUGUCACUCUGAAAUUCCACGAAUCUGACACUGGCUACCCCUUCCUUUCUGCUGGGGGGACACAGGAAGCCUCCCAUUUCUCUCCUGAGCUCUGCCGCUUGAUCCAGGCUUUGCUUCUCAGUAGAAUCAGCCUUGCCACCUGAUACACAUUAUUCUUAGCAGAAGCAUCCUUGGCUUUCUUCAGGCUGUGAAGGCAAACCUCUCAAAGGUUACACCCCCAGCUUUCCUUAAAGCAAGAUGCAUCUCUUGCCCGAGUGUUGGCCAAUGAGAUGGAAGGGGGUCAGGUUUUUAGGAGAGUCCGUUUCACCUUCCACCUUCCUGCUGCCUGAAAGACAGCUCUGAUGACCAGAGUCCCGGCAGCCAUCUGGAGCCAAAGGAGACUGCAGCUUGAAUCCAGGUGCUAAGAAUGGUGGCACAGAAAGAGAGGGAGAGCCUGGGCUCAGGUGACCUUGAAGCCACCAGACCAGCUCUGAACUUCCUACCUCCAGACUGGUUUUAGGUGAGAGAAAAAAUAAGCCCUUACAAAUUUAAGUCUCUGUUCUUUUGGGGUUUUUUUCUUUCUUUCUUCCUUUCUUUCUUCCUUUCUUUCUCCCUUUCUUUCUCCCUCUCUUCCUUCCUUCCUUCCUUCCUUCCUUCCUUCCUUCCUUCCUUNNNNNNNNNNNNNNNCUUUCUUUCUUUCUUUCUUUCUUUCUUUCUUUCUUUCUUUCUUUCUUUCUUUCUUUCUUUCUUUCUUUUGUCUUUUCAGGGCCACACCCACAGCAUAUGGAGGUUCUAAUCAGAGCUAUAGCCACCAGCCUACACCAGAGUCACAGCAACACAGGAUCCGAGCCACGUCUGUGACCUACACCACAGCUCACGGCAACACUGGAUCCUUAACCCACUCUGAAAUUCAACAAAUCUGACACUGGAAUUUCAGAGCGAGGCCAGGGAUCGAACCCACAACCUCAUGGUUCCCAGUCAGAUUCGUUAACCAAUGCGCUAUGACAGGAACUCCAGGGGUUUUUUGCUAUAUGCAGGCAAAUUAAUUCUUCCUGAUAUACCUACAAACUCUUUAUCCUUUCUCAUUCCGCCCAGCUGCAAUAUUUCCCUUAGCUGUGGUGUUAAUUUGCCAUGUCCUGCUGGGCAAAUUGAUAACCUGCCGGCACCCCCCAGUCAGCAUGCACAAUGCCAGCUUCAUAAUCAUCCCUGGAAAUUUUCUCCCCUGUUCCUUUUUGCAGUAGUGGCAGUGCCACUUUUUCUGUCACUAGCGCUCAAAAACCUGGUGCCAUCUUGCAUUCCUCUUGGUCAGUUAUCAAAUCCCUUAGUUUCUCCAUUCAUUGAUCUAAUAGUUUUUGGUUUUGUUUUAUGGCUGCACCUGUGGCAUAUGGACGUUCCCAGGCCAGGGAUUGAAUCCAAGCCACAUCUGCUACCUACACCACAGCUACAGCAACACCAGAUCCUUUAACCUGUUGAACCAGGCCGGGAGUGAACCCACACCUCUGCAGUAACCCGAGCUGCUGCAGUCAGAUUCUUAACCCACUGCACCACAGCGGGAACUCCCACCUAAUGUUUUGAGGGCAUAUUAUCUCAAGAGAUGCUCGGGACCGGGGUACAAGGGUAAGUCAAACAGAUGUUUAUUUGCUGUUGAAAUGCCUGCAAUCACGGACAGGCAGUUAUCUGUUCUCACGAAGCCUGUAAUCAAGGCAGGCGUUAGCUGAAUAAUAACACAAACAAGCAAGUGCUUCACACACACACACACACACACACACACACACACACACACACACAAAGGUGCUGAGAACUUACAGCGGGGGCCAGGGCAGGCUUUAACAGAGCUGAAACCUGAAGCAUAAUUGGAGCUAAUGAGGUAAAGAGCAGAGAGGGCUCUGAGUGGCAGGGGCACAUUUGGGGCAGAGGAAACAUCAGGUGAGAAAGCCCAAGGAACGAAGGGCAGCGUACAGCCUCUGGGUUAAGAGAAGGCUGUUGACUGAGGCACGAGGAGCCUCGAGGGUUCCAAGAGGCAUAGGCAGGGUGCAAGCAGGUCGAGGAUUUUAAGCUUCACCCUAAGAUCAACAGGAAGCUGUUUGCAGGGUUUUAAGCGGCAAAGAGAGGGUAGGCAGUGCGGUGUCCUUCCUAAUCCUCUUCUCUUCUUAAUUUCCUCUGCUGUUACACGUGUUCCCUGUUACCUGCUUCUCUUCCUGAAAGUCACCCUCCACAAACUGAGCAUCGUUUUUCCACAUCUCAAGCCUAUUCUUAAAAGUCUUCAUGAGGGUGUUCCCUGGUGGCCUUGGGGUGAAAGGAUCCAGCAUUGUCACUGCUGUGGCUUGGGUUGCUGCUGUGGCCUGGGUUUGAUUCCUGGCCUGGGAACUUCUACAAGACAUGGAUGCAGCCAAAAUGUUUUUUAAAAGUCUUCACAAGCCUCUCAUUUCCUGCCUGAUGAAAUUCAAGUUCCCAGGCCAGAGGUCAAGUUCCCAGGCUGUGACUCCGGCCACUCUCCCCCAUCCCCGUGCUUCCUGCUCCCUGUGCCCUUCCCCAUGCUCCUCCCUGGGACCAGGAAUAUCAUUUUCUUGAAGAACCAUCUGUCGAAACCUCUGUCCUUCAAGACUCUGCUCCAAGUCCUCUCUCCCCAAAGUGCUGCCUGCUCUCCUCUUCCCAAAGCCUCCUUUGCUCCUGUGUCUCUGAGCCUCACCAGGAACUUGUCACUAUCUGCAUUUGAGGGCAAACCUGAUGACCUGAUGGGAGGAUCCUUUCUGCCCCCACAGGUCCCACUGUGCCCAGCUUAGAACAAGAGGCUCAGUAAAUGUCAACUCACAGAGUUCCCAUCAUGGCACAGUGGAAACGAAUCUGACUAGGAACCAUGAGGUUGCAAGUUCGAUCCCUGGCCUCACUCAGUGGGUUAAGGAUCCAGUGUUGCUGUGAGCUGUGGUGUAGGUUGCAGAUGUGGCUCGGAUCCCAAGUGGCUGUGGCUGUGGUGUUGGCCGGCAGCUGUAGCUCCAAUUUGACCCCUAGCCUGGGAACCUCCAUAUGCCAUGAGUGCGGCCCUAAAAGGACAAAAGACAAAAAAAAAAAAAAAAAAAAAA
This 5774-nucleotide long non-coding RNA is filed under the name Sus scrofa (pig). Its description in RNAcentral is "lncRNA (ENSSSCG00025032472.1)". Lineage: Eukaryota; Metazoa; Chordata; Mammalia; Artiodactyla; Suidae. The record is from RNAcentral.